This 2864-nucleotide ribosomal RNA is filed under the name Staphylococcus argenteus. RNAcentral's name for it is "23S ribosomal RNA". The record is from RNAcentral. Lineage: Bacteria; Bacillati; Bacillota; Bacilli; Caryophanales; Staphylococcaceae.
UUAAGUUAUUAAGGGCGCACGGUGGAUGCCUUGGCACUAGAAGCCGAUGAAGGACGUUACUAACGACGAUAUGCUUUGGGGAGCUGUAAGUAAGCUUUGAUCCAGAGAUUUCCGAAUGGGGAAACCCAACAUGAGUUAUGUCAUGUUAUCGAUAUGUGAAUACAUAGCAUAUCAGAAGGCACACCCGGAGAACUGAAACAUCUUAGUACCCGGAGGAAGAGAAAGAAAAUUCGAUUCCCUUAGUAGCGGCGAGCGAAACGGGAAGAGCCCAAACCAACAAGCUUGCUUGUUGGGGUUGUAGGACACUCUAUACGGAGUUACAAAGGACGACAUUAGACGAAUCAUCUGGAAAGAUGAAUCAAAGAAGGUAAUAAUCCUGUAGUCGAAAAUGUUGUCUCUCUUGAGUGGAUCCUGAGUACGACGGAGCACGUGAAAUUCCGUCGGAAUCUGGGAGGACCAUCUCCUAAGGCUAAAUACUCUCUAGUGACCGAUAGUGAACCAGUACCGUGAGGGAAAGGUGAAAAGCACCCCGGAAGGGGAGUGAAAUAGAACCUGAAACCGUGUGCUUACAAGUAGUCAGAGCCCGUUAAUGGGUGAUGGCGUGCCUUUUGUAGAAUGAACCGGCGAGUUACGAUUUGAUGCAAGGUUAAGCAGUAAAUGUGGAGCCGUAGCGAAAGCGAGUCUGAAUAGGGCGUUUAGUAUUUGGUCGUAGACCCGAARCCAGGUGAUCUACCCUUGGUCAGGUUGAAGUUCAGGUAACACUGAAUGGAGGACCGAACCGACUUACGUUGAAAAGUGAGCGGAUGAACUGAGGGUAGCGGAGAAAUUCCAAUCGAACCUGGAGAUAGCUGGUUCUCUCCGAAAUAGCUUUAGGGCUAGCCUCAAGUGAUGAUUAUUGGAGGUAGAGCACUGUUUGGACGAGGGGCCCCUCUCGGGUUACCGAAUUCAGACAAACUCCGAAUGCCAAUUAAUUUAACUUGGGAGUCAGAACAUGGGUGAUAAGGUCCGUGUUCGAAAGGGAAACAGCCCAGACCACCAGCUAAGGUCCCAAAAUAUAUGUUAAGUGGAAAAGGAUGUGGCGUUGCCCAGACAACUAGGAUGUUGGCUUAGAAGCAGCCAUCAUUUAAAGAGUGCGUAAUAGCUCACUAGUCGAGUGACACUGCGCCGAAAAUGUACCGGGGCUAAACAUAUUACCGAAGCUGUGGAUUGUCCUUUGGACAAUGGUAGGAGAGCGUUCUAAGGGCGUUGAAGCAUGAUCGYAAGGACAUGUGGAGCGCUUAGAAGUGAGAAUGCCGGUGUGAGUAGCGAAAGACGGGUGAGAAUCCCGUCCACCGAUUGACUAAGGUUUCCAGAGGAAGGCUCGUCCGCUCUGGGUUAGUCGGGUCCUAAGCUGAGGCCGACAGGCGUAGGCGAUGGAUAACAGGUUGAUAUUCCUGUACCACCUAUAAUCGUUUUAAUCGAUGGGGGGACGCAGUAGGAUAGGCGAAGCGUGCGAUUGGAUUGCACGUCUAAGCAGUAAGGCUGAGUAUUAGGCAAAUCCGGUACUCAUUAAGGCUGAGCUGUGAUGGGGAGAAGACAUUGYGUCUUCGAGUCGUUGAUUUCACACUGCCGAGAAAAGCCUCUAGAUAGAAAAUAGGUGCCCGUACCGCAAACCGACACAGGUAGUCAAGAUGAGAAUUCUAAGGUGAGCGAGCGAACUCUCGUUAAGGAACUCGGCAAAAUGACCCCGUAACUUCGGGAGAAGGGGUGCUCUUUAGGGUUAACGCCCAGAAGAGCCGCAGUGAAUAGGCCCAAGCGACUGUUUAUCAAAAACACAGGUCUCUGCUAAACCGUAAGGUGAUGUAUAGGGGCUGACGCCUGCCCGGUGCUGGAAGGUUAAGAGGAGUGGUUAGCUUCUGCGAAGCUACGAAUCGAAGCCCCAGUAAACGGCGGCCGUAACUAUAACGGUCCUAAGGUAGCGAAAUUCCUUGUCGGGUAAGUUCCGACCCGCACGAAAGGCGUAACGAUUUGGGCACUGUCUCAACGAGAGACUCGGUGAAAUCAUAGUACCUGUGAAGAUGCAGGUUACCCGCGACAGGACGGAAAGACCCCGUGGAGCUUUACUGUAGCCUGAUAUUGAAAUUCGGCACAGCUUGUACAGGAUAGGUAGGAGCCUUUGAAACGUGAGCGCUAGCUUACGUGGAGGCGCUGGUGGGAUACUACCCUAGCUGUGUUGGCUUUCUAACCCGCACCACUUAUCGUGGUGGGAGACAGUGUCAGGCGGGCAGUUUGACUGGGGCGGUCGCCUCCUAAAAGGUAACGGAGGCGCUCAAAGGUUCCCUCAGAAUGGUUGGAAAUCAUUCAUAGAGUGUAAAGGCAUAAGGGAGCUUGACUGCGAGACCUACAAGUCGAGCAGGGUCGAAAGACGGACUUAGUGAUCCGGUGGUUCCGCAUGGAAGGGCCAUCGCUCAACGGAUAAAAGCUACCCCGGGGAUAACAGGCUUAUCUCCCCCAAGAGUUCACAUCGACGGGGAGGUUUGGCACCUCGAUGUCGGCUCAUCGCAUCCUGGGGCUGUAGUCGGUCCCAAGGGUUGGGCUGUUCGCCCAUUAAAGCGGUACGCGAGCUGGGUUCAGAACGUCGUGAGACAGUUCGGUCCCUAUCCGUCGUGGGCGUAGGAAAUUUGAGAGGAGCUGUCCUUAGUACGAGAGGACCGGGAUGGACAUACCUCUGGUGUACCAGUUGUCGUGCCAACGGCAUAGCUGGGUAGCUAUGUGUGGACGGGAUAAGUGCUGAAAGCAUCUAAGCAUGAAGCCCCCCUCAAGAUGAGAUUUCCCAACUUCGGUUAUAAGAUCCCUCAAAGAUGAUGAGGUUAAUAGGUUCGAGG